ACAGCCCUCUUCGGAGCCUGAGCCCGGCUCUCCUCACUCACCUCAACCCCCAAGCGGCCCCUCCACAGGGCCCCUCUCCUGCCUGGACGGCUCUGCUGGUCUCCCCGUCCCCUGGAGAAGAACAAGGCCAUGAGUCGGCCCCUGCUGCUGCCCCUACUGCCCCUGCUGCUGCCACCAGCAUUUCUGCAGCCUGGUGGCUCUGCAGGAUCUGGUCCAAGCUACCUUUAUGGGGUCACUCAACCAAAACACCUCUCAGCCUCCAUGGGUGGUUCUGUGGAAAUCCCCUUCUCCUUCUAUUACCCCUGGGAGUUAGCCACAGCUCCCGAUGUGAGAAUAUCCUGGAGACGGGGCCACUUCCAUGGGCAGUUCUUCUACCGCACAAGGCCGCCUUCCAUUCACAAGGAUUAUGCAAACCGGCUCUUUCUGAACUGGACAGAGGGUCAGAAGAGUGGCUUCCUCAGGAUCUCGAACCUGCGGAAGGAGGACCAGUCUGUGUAUUUCUGCCGAGUUGAGCUGGACACACGAUCAGGGAAGGAGCAGUGGCAGUCCAUCGAAGGGACCAAACUCUCCAUCACCCAGGGUGAGUCCAGCUGCCCUGGCACCCACUUUGCCCACCGCAGUGAGGCUUUUAUGAUCUCUGGUGACGUCGUCCCCAGCACCUCAGACCCCACUUCUUCUGAUGACCCCUAAGUUCUCUCUUUGGCCCCUAACACUUCCUCAGGCCUUUGCCACCUCUCCCCUUUUCUCUCCCCCUUGUCUCCACAUCUGAUCUGCUUUCCCCGACCAUCCCCCUCACUGUCCCCUCCAGAUCCAGCCCCGCCCCCACUCCUCAGGCCUCAGCAUCUGCCGGACCCUCUAAUUAUCCUUCAUUUUUUCUCCAAAAUGAGGC
RNAcentral lists this small RNA (889 nucleotides) under Pongo abelii (Sumatran orangutan). Its description in RNAcentral is "retained intron". The record is from RNAcentral. Lineage: Eukaryota; Metazoa; Chordata; Mammalia; Primates; Hominidae.